UACGUAGGAUGCAAGCGUUGUCCGGAAUUAUUGGGCGUAAAGAGCGCGCAGGCGGUAUGACAAGUCAGAUGUGAAAGAGGCCGGCUUAACCGGCAAGGGUCAUUUGAAACUGUCAGACUAGAGUGCAGCAGAGGAUAGUGGAAUUCCCGGUGUAGUGGUGAAAUGCGUAGAUAUCGGGAGGAACACCAGUGGCGAAGGCAGGUCUCUGGGCAUUAACUGACGCUGAGGAGCGAAAGCAUGGGGAGCGAACAGG
RNAcentral lists this ribosomal RNA (253 nucleotides) under uncultured bacterium. RNAcentral's name for it is "partial 16S ribosomal RNA". It matches the Rfam family "Bacterial small subunit ribosomal RNA", at positions 524 to 776 of the family's 1533-position model. The record is from RNAcentral.